UGAUGCAUAGUUCAAUGGGAAGAACGCCGCUCUACGAAAGCGGGGGUUGCAGGUUCGAAGCCUGCUGCAUCAGCCA
Molecule: transfer RNA, 76 nt
Filed under: Bacteroidota bacterium
Lineage: Bacteria; Pseudomonadati; Bacteroidota
Description: Bacteroidetes bacterium (activated sludge metagenome) tRNA-Arg
Rfam family: tRNA
About the family: Transfer RNA (tRNA) molecules are approximately 80 nucleotides in length.
Source: RNAcentral